UCCCUGAUGGUCUAAUGGUCAGGAUUCAGCACUCUCACCGCCGCGUGCCGGGUUCGAUUCCCGGUCAGGGAA
Molecule: transfer RNA, 72 nt
Filed under: Danionella translucida
Lineage: Eukaryota; Metazoa; Chordata; Actinopteri; Cypriniformes; Danionidae
Also listed under: 1 other name
Rfam family: tRNA
About the family: Transfer RNA (tRNA) molecules are approximately 80 nucleotides in length. Their secondary structure includes four short double-helical elements and three loops (D, anti-codon, and T loops). Further hydrogen bonds mediate the characteristic L-shaped molecular structure. tRNAs have two regions of fundamental functional importance: the anti-codon, which is responsible for specific mRNA codon recognition, and the 3' end, to which the tRNAs corresponding amino acid is attached (by aminoacyl-tRNA synthetases). tRNAs cope with the degeneracy of the genetic code in two manners: having more than one tRNA (with a specific anti-codon) for a particular amino acid; and 'wobble' base-pairing, i.e. permitting non-standard base-pairing at the 3rd anti-codon position.
Source: Rfam by way of RNAcentral